RNAcentral lists this ribosomal RNA (429 nucleotides) under Chloroflexota bacterium. Its description in RNAcentral is "Chloroflexi bacterium partial 16S ribosomal RNA". It matches the Rfam family "Bacterial small subunit ribosomal RNA", at positions 355 to 776 of the family's 1533-position model. The record is from RNAcentral. Lineage: Bacteria; Bacillati; Chloroflexota.
UGGGGAAUAUUGCACAAUGGGCGCAAGCCUGAUGCAGCCAUGCCGCGUGUAUGAAGAAGGCCUUCGGGUUGUAAAGUACUUUCAGCGGGGAGGAAGGGAGUAAAGUUAAUACCUUUGCUCAUUGACGUUACCCGCAGAAGAAGCACCGGCUAACUCCGUGCCAGCAGCCGCGGUAAUACGGAGGGUGCAAGCGUUAAACGGAAUUACUGGGCGUAAAGCGCACGCAGACGGUUGAUUGAGUCAGAUGUGAAAUCCCCGGGCUUAACCCGGGAAUUGCAUCUGAUACUGGGCAGCUAGAGUCUUGUAGAGGGGGGUAGAAUUCCAUGUGUAGCGGUGAAAAGCGUAGGGAUGUGGAGGAAUACCGGUGGCGAAGGCGGCCCCCUGGACAAAGACUGACGCUCAGGUGUGAAAGCGUGGGGAGCAAACAGG